AACCUAGCACACCUGCGGUGUGUACCUGCGGAGGGAUCAUUACACAAUACAAUAUGAAGGCUGUCCGCAGCUGGAGUAUUUUAUUACCCUUGUCUUUUGCGCACUUGUUGUUUCCUGGGCGGGUUCGCUCGCCACUAGGACCACCAAAUAAACCUUUUUUAUGCAGUUGCAAUCAGCGUCAGUACAAACAAUGUAAAUCAUUUACAACUUUUAACAACGGAUCUCAGAUCGGAAGAGCAC
This 240-nucleotide unclassified non-coding RNA is filed under the name soil metagenome. RNAcentral describes it as "partial contains 5.8S ribosomal RNA, internal transcribed spacer 2, and large subunit ribosomal RNA". The record is from RNAcentral.